Molecule: ribosomal RNA, 213 nt
Filed under: uncultured soil bacterium
Lineage: Bacteria
Description: partial 16S ribosomal RNA
Rfam family: Bacterial small subunit ribosomal RNA
Source: RNAcentral
AGAGCGAACGCUGGCGGCAGGCCUAACACAUGCAAGUCGAACGGAUCCUUCGGGAUUAGUGGCGGACGGGUGAGUAACACGUGGGAACGUGCCCUUUGGUUCGGAACAACUCAGGGAAACUUGAGCUAAUACCGGAUAAGCCUUUCGAGGGAAAGAUUUAUCGCCAUUGGAGCGGCCCGCGUAGGAUUAGCUAGUUGGUGAGGUAAAAGCUCA